UGUUCUUCUUUUGAUCAUCAUGUAGAGGAAACAGGUGAUUGCGAGGAAGUUUUCCCAGAAUUCCUGGAGUUUCUCUAUACCUGAAAGGUAAAACUGAACGAGGAAAACGCCAUUCUACAAAAUCAGUCACAAAUAUUGAAAAUUAUCAGCAGGAAUAAUGGACUCACAGAUUGAACAUAGCAAGGAAGUUGGGUCAGAAGAUUUUCCAGAUAUGGAGGCAGUGAUUGAGAAGUUGAAGAACGUGAAUGAGAAAAUGGAUAUAGUACAAAAAGAAAAUAUGUUCAUCACUAAGAGAUUAAAUUCAGAGGAAGAAUGGAGGUAAAC
This is a long non-coding RNA of Saccostrea cuccullata (small rock oyster), 324 nucleotides long. RefSeq lists it as uncharacterized. Lineage: Eukaryota; Metazoa; Mollusca; Bivalvia; Ostreida; Ostreidae. The transcript has 4 exons. The record is from RefSeq and is a predicted model, not a curated record.